RNAcentral lists this transfer RNA (72 nucleotides) under Fukomys damarensis (Damara mole-rat). It matches the Rfam family "tRNA". Rfam says of the family: Transfer RNA (tRNA) molecules are approximately 80 nucleotides in length. The record is from Rfam by way of RNAcentral. Lineage: Eukaryota; Metazoa; Chordata; Mammalia; Rodentia; Bathyergidae.
GAGAUUCUAGCUCAGUGGUAGAGUGCUUGCCUAGCAAGCAUAAAGCCCUGGGUUCAAUUCCCAAUACUAUCC